This 497-nucleotide ribosomal RNA is filed under the name uncultured bacterium. Its description in RNAcentral is "partial 16S ribosomal RNA". It matches the Rfam family "Bacterial small subunit ribosomal RNA", at positions 28 to 508 of the family's 1533-position model. The record is from RNAcentral.
GAUGAACGCUGGCGGCGUGCCUAAUACAUGCAAGUCGAGCGAACAGAUAAGGAGCUUGCUCCUUUGACGUUAGCGGCGGACGGGUGAGUAACACGUGGAUAACCUACCUAUAAGACUGGGAUAACUUCGGGAAACCGGAGCUAAUACCGGAUAACAUAUUGAACCGCAUGGUUCAAUAGUGAAAGGCGGCUUUGCUGUCACUUAUAGAUGGAUCCGCGCCGUAUUAGCUAGUUGGUAAGGUAACGGCUUACCAAGGCAACGAUACGUAGCCGACCUGAGAGGGUGCUCGGCCACAGUGACACUGAGACACGGUCCAGACCCCUGGGGGCGGCGGAAGUAGGAAAUCUCCCGCAGUGGGCGAAAGCCUGACGGAACACCGCCGGGUGAGUGAUAAAGGUCUUCGAAUCAAAAAACUCUUUUAACGGGGAAGAAAAAAGGGGAAAGUAACUGUGCACUUCUGGCGGUUACAUAAUCAAAAGGCCACGACAACCCAGGAC